AUACGAUGAAGAGUUUGAUCCUGGCUCAGGAUGAACGCUAGCGGCAGGCUUAACACAUGCAAGUCGAGGGGUAUAGUUCUUCGGAAUUAGAGACCGGCGCACGGGUGCGUAACGCGUAUGCAAUCUACCUUUUACAGAGGGAUAGCCCAGAGAAAUUUGGAUUAAUACCUCAUAGUA
This 177-nucleotide ribosomal RNA is filed under the name Flavobacterium aquicola. Its description in RNAcentral is "partial 16S ribosomal RNA". It matches the Rfam family "Bacterial small subunit ribosomal RNA", at positions 1 to 178 of the family's 1533-position model. Lineage: Bacteria; Pseudomonadati; Bacteroidota; Flavobacteriia; Flavobacteriales; Flavobacteriaceae. The record is from RNAcentral.